GGCCAAUGUUGGUAUGGUGGGUCCCAGGCUUUUCUUGGCAGGGGACUGAGACCCCACCCCUUUCCCCUGCUCUUGAGGGACCACGGACCUCACUUUGCCCAGGAAGAGUCCUUGGAUCUGGAAUUUCAAGAUGCAUUUUAAAACAAGAAGGGGCUCGAGGGUCUAAGGACUAGACGGAGUAAAACAGGAGAAGGAGCGUCAACACUGUUGCUAGAUAAAAGUCUGAAGAGAGAUUUUGGUGGAUGUGAUUGAAAGUGUUUAAAUAAAAGAUGAC
Molecule: long non-coding RNA, 274 nt
Organism: Mauremys reevesii (Reeves's turtle)
Lineage: Eukaryota; Metazoa; Chordata; Testudines; Geoemydidae
Exons: 3
Source: RefSeq, a predicted model, not a curated record